RNAcentral lists this ribosomal RNA (497 nucleotides) under uncultured bacterium. Its description in RNAcentral is "partial 16S ribosomal RNA". It matches the Rfam family "Bacterial small subunit ribosomal RNA", at positions 28 to 507 of the family's 1533-position model. The record is from RNAcentral.
GAUGAACGCUGGCGGCGUGCCUAAUACAUGCAAGUCGAGCGAACAGACGAGGAGCUUGCUCCUCUGACGUUAGCGGCGGACGGGUGAGUAACACGCGGAUAACCUACCUAUAAGACUGGGAUAACUUCGGGAAACCGGAGCUAAUACCGGAUAAUAUAUUGAACCGCAUGGUUCAAUAGUGAAAGACGGUUUUGCUGUCACUUAUAGAUGGAUCCGCGCCGCAUUAGCUAGUUGGUAAGGUAACGGCUUACCAAGGCAACGAUGCGUAGCCGACCUGAGAGGGUGAUCGGCCACACUGGAACUGAGACACGGUCCAGACUCCUACGGGAGGCAGCAGUAGGAAAUCUUCCGCAAUGGGCGAAAGCCUGACGGAGCAACGCCGCGUGAGUGAUGAAGGUCUUCGGAUCGUAAAACUCUGUUAUUAGGGAAGAACAAAUGUGUAAGUAACUAUGCACGUCUUGACGGUACCUAAUCAGAAAGCCACGGCUAACUACGUG